Molecule: ribosomal RNA, 253 nt
Filed under: uncultured bacterium
Lineage: Bacteria
Description: partial 16S ribosomal RNA
Rfam family: Bacterial small subunit ribosomal RNA
Source: RNAcentral
UACGAAGGGGGCUAGCGUUGCUCGGAAUCACUGGGCGUAAAGGGCGCGUAGGCGGAUCGUUAAGUAGAAAGUGAAAGGUCGGGGCUUAACCCCAACAUUGCUUUCUAUACUGGCGGUCUUGAAUCCCGGAGGGGAAAGCGGAACGACACGUGUAGCGGUGAAAUGCGUUGAUAUGUGUCGGAACACCAAUGGCGAAGGCAGCUUUCUGGACGGGGAUUGACGCUCAUCUGCGAAAGCCGAGGUAGCGAACAGG